Molecule: ribosomal RNA, 252 nt
Filed under: uncultured bacterium
Lineage: Bacteria
Description: partial 16S ribosomal RNA
Rfam family: Bacterial small subunit ribosomal RNA
Source: RNAcentral
UACGUAGGGGGCAAGCGUUGUCCGGAUUUAUUGGGCGUAAAGAGCGUGUAGGCGGCCACACAGGUCAGCUGUGAAACUCGAGGCUCAACCUCGAGACGUCGGUUGAAACCGUAUGGCUAGAGUCCGGAAGAGGAGAGUGGAAUUCCCGGUGUAGCGGUGAAAUGCGCAGAUAUCGGGAAGAACACCCGUGGCGAAGGCGGCUCUCUGGGACGGUACUGACGCUGAGACGCGAAAGCGUGGGGAGCGAACAGG